Acanthochromis polyacanthus (spiny chromis) is the source of this 669-nucleotide long non-coding RNA. RefSeq lists it as uncharacterized. NCBI's taxonomy places the organism in Eukaryota, Metazoa, Chordata, Actinopteri, Pomacentridae. The record is from RefSeq and is a predicted model, not a curated record. The transcript has 4 exons.
AGGAGUCACAGUACCACUAAUCAGGAGGUCCAGAAGGAGUCAUAGUACCACUAAUCAGGAGGUCUAGAAGGAGUCAUAGUUCCACUAAUCAGGAGGUCUAGAAGGAGUCAUAGUUCCACUAAUCAGGAGGUCUAGAAGGAGUCAUAGUUCCACUAAUCAGGAGGUCUAGAAGGAGUCAUAGUUCCACUAAUCAGGUCUAGAAGGAGUCAUAGUUCCACUAAUCAGGAGGUCUAGAAGGAGUCAUAGUUCCACUAAUCAGGAGGUCUAGAAGGAGUCAUAGUACCACUAAUCAGGAGGUCUAGAAGGAGUCAUAGUUCCACUAAUCAGGAGGUCUAGAAGGAGUCAUAGUUCCACUAAUCAGGAGGUCCAGAAGGAGUCAUAGUUCCACUAAUCAGGAGGUCUAGAAGGAGUCAUAGUACCACUAAUCAGGAGGUCUAGAAGGAGUCAUAGUUCCACUAAUCAGGAGGUCUAGAAGGAGUCAUAGUUCCACUAAUCAGGAGGUCUAGAAGGAGUCAUAGUACCACUAAUCAGGAGGUCUAGAAGGAGUCAUAGUUCCACUAAUCAGGUCUAGAAGGAGUCAUAGUACCACUAAUCAGGAGGUCUAGAAGGAGUCAUAGUACCACAAAUCAGGUCUAGAAGGAGUCAUAGUUCCACUAAUCAGGUCUAGAA